Molecule: ribosomal RNA, 949 nt
Filed under: uncultured archaeon
Lineage: Archaea
Description: bacterial SSU rRNA
Rfam family: Archaeal small subunit ribosomal RNA
Source: RNAcentral
UUUCCCGGGGUUUGAUCCUGCCGGACCCUACUGCUAUCGGGAUGGGACUAAGACAUGCUAGUCGUGCGCCUCCUAGCUAUGGUGGAGGCGCGGCACACAGCUCAGUAACACGUGGCUAACCUGCCCUUGGGACGGAAACAUCCCCGGGAAACUGGGGCCAAUGUCCGAUAGGCGAAGAUCUCUGGAACGAGUCUUCACCCAAAAGACGUUUGGGGCAUGCUUCUAGACGUUGCCCAAGGAUGGGGCCGCGGCCGAUCAGGUUGUUGGUGAGGUAACGGCUCACCAAGCCUAUUACCGGUACGGGCCGUGGGAGCGGUAGCCCGGAGAUGGGCACUGAGACAAGGGCCCAGGCCCUACGGGGCGCAGCAGUCGCGAAAACUUCGCAAUAAGCGAAAGCUUGACGGGGCUAUCCCGGGUGCCAUCUGCUGAGGAUGGCUUUUACCUAGUAUAGAUAGCUGGGGGAAUAAGGAGAGGGCAAGUCUGGUGUCAGCCGCCGCGGUAAUACCAGCUCUCCGAGUUGUGGGGAUAUUUAUUGGGCCUAAAGCAUCCGUAGCCGGCUGAACAAGUCCCCUGUUAAAUCCAGCGACGAAUCGUUGGUCUGCGGGGGAUACUGCUCGGCUAGGGGGCGGGAGAGGCCGUCGGUAUUCUUGGGGUAGGGGUGAAAUCCUAUAAUCCCAGGAGGACCACCAGUGGCGAAGGCUGUCGGCUAGAACGCGCCCGACGGUGAGGGAUGAAAGCUGGGGGAGCGAACCGGAUUAGAUACCCGGGUAGUCCCAGCUGUAAACGAUGCGGGCUAGGUGUUAGGGCGGCUACGUGCCGCUCUAGUGCCGCAGGGAAGCUGUUAAGCCUGCCGCCUGGGGAGUACGGCCGCAAGGCUGAAACUUAAAGGAAUUGGCGGGGGAGCACCACAAGGGGUGAAGCUUGCGGUUUAAUUGGAGUCAACGCCGGG